GAGAGAGACAUGCGCGCAUAUCAAUAAGCGGAGGAAAAGAAACUAACAAGGAUUCCCUGAGUAACGGCGAGUGAAGCGGGAAGAGCUCAAAUUUGAAAUCUUCAAGGUUCUACCUUGACGAAUUGUAGUUUAUAGAAGUGUUUUCUGUUAGUGGAGUGGCAAAAGUUCUUUGGAAUAGGACAUCAUAGAGGGUGAGAAUCCCGUAUUUGGUCAUUCCUCCUAGCGUUGUGAUACACUUUCAUCGAGUCGGAUUGUUUGGGAAUGCAGUCCAAAAUGGGUGGUAAAUUUCAUCUAAAGCUAAAUAUUGGCGAGAGACCGAUAGCGAACAAGUACCGUGAGGGAAAGAUGAAAAGAACUUUGAAAAGAGAGUUAAACAGUACGUGAAAUUGUCAAAAGGGAAGCGUUUGACACCAGUGUUGUUUUUCCGAAAAUCAAUUACGAAUGUUUUAUUUUUGAGGAGUUAUGACUUCAUCGGCUUGCUCCUUUCUUUAUGAAACUUUCUUAAUGCACUUUUCGGUUAACAAGUCAACAUCAAUUUCUUUUGUUGUAAAAGGGUAUGAGGAAGGUGGCUUUCUUUUCGGAGAAAGUGUUUAUAGCCUUGUGCCUCUGCAAUCGGAGAGAUUGAGGUCUGCAGCGUAGAUCCUUCGGGGUUAGAUACAGUUUGUGCUAAGUUAUAGCUUUUCAUAGACAACUUGUUGACUAUGUUUAGUCUUGUAGCUUACUCGCUGACUGCUAUUUUACCUACGCUUAGGAUGUUGAUAGUCACAGCGUGUAC
RNAcentral lists this ribosomal RNA (775 nucleotides) under uncultured Neocallimastigales. RNAcentral describes it as "partial large subunit ribosomal RNA". It matches the Rfam family "Eukaryotic large subunit ribosomal RNA", at positions 23 to 644 of the family's 3401-position model. Lineage: Eukaryota; Fungi; Neocallimastigomycota; Neocallimastigomycetes; Neocallimastigales. The record is from RNAcentral.